UACGGAAGGCAGCAGUGGGGAAUAUUGCACAAUGGGCGAAAGCCUGAUGCAGCUAUGCCGCGUGUAUGAAGAAGGCCUUAGGGUUGUAAAGUACUUUCAUCGGGGAGGAAAAAACAAAACUAAUAAUUUUAUUUCUUGACGUUACCCGAAAAAGAAGCACCGGCUAACUCCGUGCCAGCAGCCGCGGUAAUACGGAGGGUGCUAGCGUUAAUCAGAAUUACUGGGCGUAAAGAGCACGUAGGUGGUUUUUUUAAGUCAGAUGUGAAAUCCCUGGGCUUAACCUAGGAACUGCAUUUUGAAACUGAAAUACUAGAGUAUCGUAGAGGGAGGUAGAAUUCUAGGUGUAGCGGUGAAAUGCGUAGAUAUCUGGAGGAAUACCUGUGGCGAAAGCGGCCUCCUAAACGAAUACUGACACUGAGGUGCGAAAGCGUUGGGGAGCGAAACAGGGAUUAGGAUACC
Molecule: ribosomal RNA, 459 nt
Filed under: uncultured bacterium
Lineage: Bacteria
Description: bacterial SSU rRNA
Rfam family: Bacterial small subunit ribosomal RNA
Source: RNAcentral